CAGGCCCUUCCAGGUUCCCGUACUUUCUUAUGGAGCUGCUCAGUGACCGGCUUAGAGGACCGGGAAUGGGUAAUUGGAGGCUGGAGCCGCUCCACUGUGGUUCGCCUCGCUGCAACUGGUGGUGACCGCGACCGAGAUGGCAGUGCGGCGGGAGCGGCACCAACCCCUUCCUCAGGUCGGUGCACCACUGCGUGACCUCCAGGCAGCCACAGCCUGGAAAAGCACUCGGUUACCACCUUGCUCAACACCUGUGCCCAGAGCAUCCACAAGGCCUGCCUCUCGGCUGCUUAGCCAGGACUGCAGGGAUGGCCCGCAGCCUCAUCGGGGCCAAGGACGCAUGCCUCCUGUCAGACACUUCUAGGUGUUGGCAUCCAUGGAGAGCCUGGAGUUAGGACUCGUCACUGUGUCCCCCACUCCAUGAAACUGGGCCUGCUGUCCUGUUAGGAUGCUGUAAGCCCCCGGGCCUGGGCUGUCCUUUCUGACACACUGUCCCAUUCCUUGGCCUGGUUCAUCCCCAGCUUCCUGGCAAAGUUCUGCUCCCUGAAGCAGGAAGAGGCUGAGAUUAAUGCCAACGAAGUGGGGCCGUGGGCCUGGGAAGACUGUGUGGCUGGCUGAGGGUGGGCAGUAAGCUGGCCACCCCACCCCCGACAUGGACAUGGCUGUGCUAUGGCGGAAGGGGUGGUGUGGGCAUGGCCACAGCACUCGAGACAGCCCUCCGAGGAGGAGGGCGAGCCUGGCUGGACCCCCUGUCUGCGGUGCUGUGUCAGGGCAGGAGAGGACAGCCUCUUGCCCCCAGGAGUGUGCAGUGUGGGCAAGAGACAGAGUGAUCAUGUGUUUGGAACGCAGCUCCAGCCCAGCCAGGGGACCAGAAAAGCCCUCCCGCUUCCAGGGAGGAUGUGCAUGGCUCUGCCAAUGCCUAUCUCCCAGGGCCGCUGGCAGGUCCCAGGAUGCGCAAGACUGGGCUGCCCAGGCAGGUCCCUGCAGACAGCAGGGCCUGGGCUAGAGGCCAAGGGCUGGGACUGGGAAGGGACGCGACGCCUGAUAGCCAGUGAGGAGCCAGGCACACAACUUGGAAAUAAACAAGCUUUAUUUUCAGUUUCAACAGGUAAGGCGAUACCUGCUUCAUCG
RNAcentral lists this long non-coding RNA (1128 nucleotides) under Homo sapiens (human). RNAcentral describes it as "non-protein coding lnc-MZT2A-4:2". Lineage: Eukaryota; Metazoa; Chordata; Mammalia; Primates; Hominidae. The record is from RNAcentral.